AUGGACGCCGCCGGCGCCGGCGCGAGCAACGGGGGCCUGCUGUACCACGAGGUGCAGGAGGGGAAGCUGUGCGCCGUGCACUGCGUCAACACCGCCCUGCAGGGGCCCUUCUUCUCCGAGUUCGACCUCGCCGCGCUCGCCGCCGACCUCGACCAGCGCGAGCGCCAGGUCAUGCUGCAGGGCGCCGCCACCGUCGCCGCGGGGGACUUCCUCGCCGAGGGCGAGGGCUCCCACAACGUCUCCCUCGGCGGCGACUUCAGCAUCCAGGUUCUGCAGAAGGCACUGGAAGUCUGGGACCUCCAAGUUCUUCCCCUUGACUCCCCAGCAGCUGGGUCAUCCCUAUUUGACCCAGAGCUAGAAAUUGCUUUCAUUUGCCACCUUCAGGACCACUGGUUCUGCAUCAGGAAGGUGAAUGAGGAGUGGUAUAACUUCAACAGUCUCUACCCUGCUCCUGAGCAUCUGUCAAAGUUCUACCUCUCAGCUUUCAUUGACACCCUGAAGGGGGCAGGCUGGAGCAUUUUUGCUGUUAGGGGCAAUUUCCCUAAAGAGUGUCCCAUGGCGACAGAAGGCUCCAAUGGUUUCGGGCAGUGGCUGACUCCUGAAGAUGCCCGGAAGAUAACAGCCUCUUGUAACCAGGUGCCCGCACCCACUCAACAGGGAGCAGUCUCUCAGCUCGGUGGUCAGUCAGCAGGCAUGAGUGAAAUGGACAUCAUCACAGCACAGCAGGAAGAAGCUGACCUGAACGCCGCUAUAGCUGCCAGCCUGAUGGACGCUGGGGGUCCAUUUGGCAGCCAGAGUGCUCCUCAACAAGAAUCCAGGCCCCAGCCUAGCUAUGUGGUGGAGCAAGGAGCUAAUGUAACUACCUCUGUCGCAGUGGGGGAAGAUAGCUAUGUGGUGGAGCAAGGAGCUAAUGAAGCUGAAGCAAGCGAGCCGGGCAGCGAUACCAUAGAGGGGUCCGCCCCAGGCAGCUACCCGAGGGAGAGGUCUCCCCCUUCGGAGAGAAGAUAG
This 1008-nucleotide ribosomal RNA is filed under the name Triticum aestivum (bread wheat). RNAcentral describes it as "partial small subunit ribosomal RNA". Lineage: Eukaryota; Viridiplantae; Streptophyta; Magnoliopsida; Poales; Poaceae. The record is from RNAcentral.